Molecule: unclassified non-coding RNA, 228 nt
Filed under: Hevea brasiliensis (rubber tree)
Lineage: Eukaryota; Viridiplantae; Streptophyta; Magnoliopsida; Malpighiales; Euphorbiaceae
Source: RNAcentral
GCCCCUUACGCAACAUUUCAACCGAGUAGUUGUGUAUUUGCCGAAUGCUAGCACCAGGUUUGCAAAGAUUUAUGCAUAACUUGUUUGUUUGAAGUAUAAGAUCAUAGAGCUCGUAUUGUGCUGAAGAAAAGCUACCACAUGGUGGCCAGGUACGAGUAAGAUCGCUAACAUAACCAUUCAACUCACAUCCAAUAUCCAUCAAAACAAGAUCACCAUCUCUAAUCUUUU